RNAcentral lists this non-coding RNA (30 nucleotides) under Mus musculus (house mouse). The record is from RNAcentral. Lineage: Eukaryota; Metazoa; Chordata; Mammalia; Rodentia; Muridae.
UGAGUGGUCUGGGAACGUAACAGGAUUGAA